RNAcentral lists this ribosomal RNA (38 nucleotides) under Diddensiella caesifluorescens. RNAcentral's name for it is "partial 26S ribosomal RNA". The record is from RNAcentral. Lineage: Eukaryota; Fungi; Ascomycota; Dipodascomycetes; Dipodascales; Trichomonascaceae.
UUGACCUCAAAUCAGGCAGGAUUACCCGCUGAACUUAA